This 238-nucleotide unclassified non-coding RNA is filed under the name Hevea brasiliensis (rubber tree). The record is from RNAcentral. Lineage: Eukaryota; Viridiplantae; Streptophyta; Magnoliopsida; Malpighiales; Euphorbiaceae.
GAAACAUAUAGCAUAUGAAGCAUGACAAUCAAACAAAUAAUGAACUUACAUGGUGAAAACAGAUAAAACAGGCAUUAAUUAUUCAGAUCAGUCCAUGACUAAGCAAGCAUGCAUGUUAUUAUAAAGAGAGAGGGAGACAGCGAGAGAGAAGGGAGGUUAAGAAGGUGAGGAAGCACGAGGGGUUAUAUGUAUGAUGAUGCAGGCAAGAAAAAUCAGAUUUAGAAAUUAUUUUGAUUUA